This 334-nucleotide unclassified non-coding RNA is filed under the name uncultured fungus. Its description in RNAcentral is "sequence contains ITS1". The stretch from base 1 to 103 matches the Rfam family "5.8S ribosomal RNA", at positions 50 to 154 of the family's 154-position model. The record is from RNAcentral. Lineage: Eukaryota; Fungi.
GAAAUGCGAUACGUAGUGUGAAUUGCAGAAUUCAGUGAAUCAUCGAAACCUUGAACGCACCUUGCGCUUGUGGUCACCCACAAGCAUGCCUGUUUGAGUGUCGUUUAUCAUUCCUCAAUCCGAGAGAGGACCACUCCUCUCUCGCGUUGGAGCUGAGCGUUUGCCCUCCAACCGGGGGCAAUCGCUUGAAAAGAAGGGGGACUCUAAGGGCAUUGAAACUCUGGCGUUCAAAAGCUCCUGCAGUCCGUGGACGUCUUUAGCAUGUUUUACCAUGAUUUCACGCCCGCGCUGCAACCUUAUGGGGCUUCUGGGCCGUUCUUCAGGCAUCCUGGUC